AUCGUUGCUGCUCCUUAAUGCUUGCGGUUCUGUUAUUCUCAGCAUUCUGAGACCAGCGUCCACUGAUAAUUGCAUCUCCACUGAACAAAGAAAGAUAAACGUUAUUAUUAAUGAGUGUUUCUGCGUUCUCUGACGUUUUGGAAAACGUGGUAAGGGACAUACCGAUUGGUAGAGGGCUGAGGUAAGGUUUAAAGACAGUGCAAAGAGUGAAAACAAAGAGAAGAGAGGCAAUGAAAGCUCCAUAGCCAAGUCUCUUCGGCUCGUUUCU
Long non-coding RNA from Arabidopsis thaliana (thale cress), 268 nucleotides. RefSeq annotates it as other RNA. Lineage: Eukaryota; Viridiplantae; Streptophyta; Magnoliopsida; Brassicales; Brassicaceae. The record is from RefSeq. The transcript has a single exon.